AGCAGAGGGAGAGAGAGUGUGUACCUUGACAAGAACGGCCCAGAUGGUGCAGCGAGCGGUGUUGGAAUUUGGAAUAGAAGCCACUCAUACCUGACACCUCAUCACAGCCGUCCAUCUUCAUCAGAGCAACCAAAGCAGAAAGAAGAACCUUAGCAAUUAGCAGUUUGGUGAUUGAAGCUGUGAUGGAGGAAGAGGGCUCAGAUGCAAUGAACCUUGAUUUGAAUCUGGGUCCAGGCCCAGAGCUACCAAGCGGGUCCAUUAGCAAUGAAGCUAUGAACUUGGACGAUUGGAUAGGUGAGAGAAUCAGUGAAGCUGUGAGGCUUAGGGCGAGACAAAGGUGGCGAUGGCGGCAUCUCCCUAUACCUCAUCCUGAAGUUCAUGUUCACAUUCCACCUGAAGCCACACGGCAUUUGCAUAUCCCACCAGAAGCACACAACAUUUCCAUGGAAUUGAACCAGUUUUUGGUCAAUUCAGGUAAUGGAAGUGCCUUGCAGGCCGGAGAAGGCAGCGUGGCCGCAGAGGAGAGGAUGGAGGAGGCGCCAAAAGCGUGUGAGAACAUCAAUGGUGUUGCGGAGGAUGAGGCAUCACAGAAGAAGGAUGAUGUGGAAAAGGGUAGUGGCAAUGAUGGGGACUUUUUUGAUUGUAAUAUCUGUUUGGACCUGGCUAUGGACCCUGUUGUGACGUGUUGUGGUCAUUUGUUUUGUUGGCCGUGUUUGUAUCGAUGGCUGCAUCUGCAUUCGGAUGCUAAGGAAUGUCCUGUUUGCAAGGGGGAGGUGACUCUCAAGAGUGUUACCCCAAUCUAUGGCCGUGCAAACAAUGCCCGUGGUCCUGAUGAUGAUUCUGCUCUUAAAAUCCCUCCUAGGCCGCAAGCACGGCGGGUUGAGAGCCUUAGACAAACCAUUCAAAGAAAUGCAUUUGUUGCACUCCCUGUGGAAGAGAUGAUUCGGCGCCUUGGAAGCAGAAUUGAUCUUACUCGCGAUUUAGUUCAGCCUCACGAGCCAGACACUGCUCGGGAGACAGCAGAUAGAACUACCACUUUCCUAAGUAGGUUCUUGACAACUCGAGGUUUGAGGAGAGAGCAGAAUGUUGGGGCACCCCCUGAUGAUGUUGUGGGUAUGACACAGAACAAUGUUAGUACUUCUGAGGCUGGGACUGGGGAUAACCGCAGGGUGCAAUCCCCUUUGCUUAGAAGAACACAAUCACACAGAGCAACACUUUCUACUCUUUCAUCGGCAUUGACUUCUGCUGAAAGAUUAGUUGAGGCAUACUUCCGUAGCAAUCCAUUAGGUAGAAACCAAGAACAACCUCCUCCUCCUCCUACAGUGGAUGACAGAGAUUCCUUUUCAAGCAUUGGUGCUGUCAUAAAUUCAGAGAGUCAAGUUGACACUGCUGUAGAAAUUGAUUCCAUGGUAUCCUUGUCAACUUCCUCCUCUAGAAGGAGAAAUGAUGCUUCAAGAGUGUCUGAUGUGGAUAGUGGAGAUUCCCGUGCUCCAAGGCGCAGACGACUGAACUGAUAAGAAGUCUUCUAGAUGAUCAAGUUAUUACUAUUCUAUCAUGUAACACAUAUGAUAAUAAUUUUCCAACACCUGUACCUAUUUCGUGGGGCAUGGCCAACGGCAAUUCGGGCUUGUAUUUCUUGUCAAUAAUGCAGGUUCUGCUUCAGCAGAGUUGUUGUAGACAAUGAAUUGUAAAUAUAGUGACAAUUAUAGAUAUAUGGUAGGCUAGUAGCUAGUCUUUGUUUAGUGUUGUGGAUUCCCAUACCAUAUUUUGCUAAAGCAUCUUCAUGCUGCACGAAUCUUAGUUCGCCCACAUGGUUUCAUGUUAGGUCGUGGAAGUCAAUGGUAGAUGUUUUGUACUCAUGUGAUGGAUCCGCUGUAGCGGUUGUGUUGUUGUGUUAACGAGGUUGGAGUAUUCGGGUCAAUUCAAAGUUUAUUUUGAUGGAUUUGGGUCUUAAUUUUAAACUUCAAGUUUUGAAAAUGAGUUUGUACUAUUUUAGCUCAGUGUAAUAACUCAUGUUCUUUAAAAUUUAUCUUUUUUAUGAUCAUGUAUUUAGAAUAAAAGUUAU
Molecule: RNA transcript, 2065 nt
Organism: Abrus precatorius (Indian licorice)
Lineage: Eukaryota; Viridiplantae; Streptophyta; Magnoliopsida; Fabales; Fabaceae
Exons: 3
Source: RefSeq, a predicted model, not a curated record